Molecule: ribosomal RNA, 492 nt
Filed under: uncultured bacterium
Lineage: Bacteria
Description: partial 16S ribosomal RNA
Rfam family: Bacterial small subunit ribosomal RNA
Source: RNAcentral
AGUGAACGCUGGCGGUAGGCCUAACACAUGCAAGUCGAACGGCAGCACAGUAAGAGCUUGCUCUUACGGGUGGCGAGUGGCGGACGGGGGAGGAAUACAUCGGAAUCUACUUUUUCGUGGGGGAUAACGUAGGGAAACUUACGCCAAUACCGCAUACGACCUACGGGUGAAAGGAGGGGAUCUUCGGACCUUGCGCGAAUGAAUUCGCCGAUGUCGGAUUAGCUAGUUGGCGGGGUAAAGGCCCACCAAGGCGACGAUCCGUAGCUGGUCUGAGAGGAUGAUCAGCCACACUGGAACUGAGACACGGUCCAGACUCCUACGGGAGGCAGCAGUGGGGAAUAUUGGACAAUGGGCGCAAGCCUGAUCCAGCCAUACCGCGUGGGUGAAGAAGGCCUUCGGGUUGUAAAGCCCUUUUGUUGGGAAAGAAAAGCAGCAGGUUAAUACCCCGCUGUUCUGACGGUACCCAAAGAAUAAGCACCGGCUAACUUCGUG